CUUGUCUCAAAGAUUAAGCCAUGCAUGUCUAAGUAUAAGCAAUUAUACCGUGAAACUGCGAAUGGCUCAUUAAAUCAGUUAUCGUUUAUUUGAUAGUACCUUACUACUUGGAUAACCGUGGUAAUUCUAGAGCUAAUACAUGCUGAAAACCCCGACUUCGGAAGGGGUGUAUUUAUUAGAUAAAAAACCAAUGCCCUUCGGGGCUCUUUGGUGAUUCAUGAUAACUUAACGGAUCGCAUGGCCUUGCGCCGGCGACGGUUCAUUCAAAUUUCUGCCCUAUCAACUUUCGAUGGUAAGGUAUUGGCUUACCAUGGUUUCAACGGGUAACGGGGAAUUAGGGUUCGGUUCCGGAGAGGGAGCCUGAGAAACGGCUACCACAUCCAAGGAAGGCAGCAGGCGCGCAAAUUACCCAAUCCCGACACGGGGAGGUAGUGACAAUAAAUACUGAUACAGGGCUCUUUUGGGUCUUGUAAUUGGAAUGAGUACAAUUUAAACCCCUUAACGAGGAACAAUUGGAGGGCAAGUCUGGU
Molecule: ribosomal RNA, 530 nt
Filed under: Kiskunsagia ubrizsyi
Lineage: Eukaryota; Fungi; Ascomycota; Dothideomycetes; Pleosporales; Lophiostomataceae
Description: SSU rRNA
Rfam family: Eukaryotic small subunit ribosomal RNA
Source: RNAcentral